ACAGCAGUAGCCGCGGUAAUACGUAGGUGGCAAGCGUUGUCCGGAAUUAUUGGGCGUAAAGCGCGCGCAGGUGGUUUAAUAAGUCUGAUGUGAAAGCCCACGGCUCAACCGUGGAGGGUCAUUGGAAACUGUUAAACUUGAGUGCAGGAGAGAAAAGUGGAAUUCCUAGUGUAGCGGUGAAAUGCGUAGAGAUUAGGAGGAACACCAGUGGCGAAGGCGGCUUUUUGGCCUGUAACUGACACUGAGGCGCGAAAGCGUGGGGAGCAAACAGGAUUAGAUACCCCAGUAGUCCCUGUCUCUUAUAC
Molecule: ribosomal RNA, 305 nt
Filed under: uncultured bacterium
Lineage: Bacteria
Description: partial 16S ribosomal RNA
Rfam family: Bacterial small subunit ribosomal RNA
Source: RNAcentral